Molecule: unclassified non-coding RNA, 1191 nt
Filed under: Hevea brasiliensis (rubber tree)
Lineage: Eukaryota; Viridiplantae; Streptophyta; Magnoliopsida; Malpighiales; Euphorbiaceae
Source: RNAcentral
GCAUUUUCUUCCUACAAUUAUUCAUCCGAAGCAGCAACUCUCUCUCUCUCCCUUCCAAAAAUGUUAACUAGUGCUAAGCUCCUCUUUGCGGGAUGUGUUAUCCUUGUCUUUCUAGUCCAACUAAACCACACCUGUCAUGCUAUAAGCAACAAUUCGUGCCCUUCUUCCUCUUGUGGCCACAUCUCCAACAUAGACUACCCUUUCCGAUUGAAAACUGAUUCUGCAAACUGUGGCCGGAAAGAGUAUGAACUUGCUUGCGAGAAUAACGUUCCUGUAGUAUACUUAUCUUCAGCAAAAUAUUAUGUCAAGGAAAUCAAUUACAAAAACUUCACAAUCCGACUGGCUUAUUUCGAUGUGCAAAACGAUGACUACUGCUCUCUACCUCCUUAUCCAUCAACAACCAGAAAUUCUUUUUCCUCGUCGUACGAUUCGUAUGCGGAAUCUUAUAAGGACUAUCUAUAUCAGGACUUGGUUUUCGUAACUUGUCCAAAUCCAGUAAUUUCUGAAGUUUAUGUGGAUACUUCUCCUUGCAAUAUUACUUACAAUUCCUCUUCUUCCUCUCCUAAUUUGGAAAUGAAAGGUUAUGUUAAAGUUGGGUCUGAUGAUGCAAUGGAUUUGAAGGAUUCUUGCCGUAUCGAGCGAAUCUAUAUUACGUCUUUGUUGCCAAAAGAUGCAAAGAACGUUUCCUAUGCAGAUGUUCACCGUAGUUUGGUAUAUGGGUUUGAGCUUUCAUGGUUUUGGGGGGGAUGCUGUUUGGAUAACUCAGAAAACCUUUGCAAGCUUGAUGCUGCCACCAUCAUCCGCAGCUGCCAUUCUACAACGGGACGGCCGAGUAAUCUACGUCCUCUUCUUGUUAAACUGGAAGAAAGUGCACUUGGUCGUCUACUCAGGCGACUCAAAUGGGAACCGGCUCUCUAUGCUGAUUUGGAUUUUAAGGGUUGUGUACUGGCCCUCCUUCAUUAUGUUGUUGUUCUUUUUGUGUUGUAUCGUGGUCCCUUAUUCCUGGGUGGGGUUAUUUGGACUAUCCUAUUUUUUAUUAAUAGAUGGAGAAGGAGGCAUUUAUCUGAAUAUGGCAUAGUUGAAGAAUUUUUGCAAAGUCAUAAUAAUCUUAUGCCUGUUAGAUAUACUUACUCAGAUAUUAAAAAGAUUACCAAUUGUUUCAAAUACAAGUUGGGUGAAGGAGGUUAUGGC